This 456-nucleotide ribosomal RNA is filed under the name Streptococcus mutans. RNAcentral describes it as "bacterial SSU rRNA". It matches the Rfam family "Bacterial small subunit ribosomal RNA", at positions 28 to 464 of the family's 1533-position model. Lineage: Bacteria; Bacillati; Bacillota; Bacilli; Lactobacillales; Streptococcaceae. The record is from RNAcentral.
GACGAACGCUGGCGGCGUGCCUAAUACAUGCAAGUGGGACGCAAGGAAACACACUGUGCUUGCACACCGUGUUUUCUUGAGUCGCGAACGGGUGAGUAACGCGUAGGUAACCUGCCUAUUAGCGGGGGAUAACUAUUGGAAACGAUAGCUAAUACCGCAUAAUAUUAAUUAUUGCAUGAUAAUUGAUUGAAAGAUGCAAGCGCAUCACUAGUAGAUGGACCUGCGUUGUAUUAGCUAGUUGGUAAGGUAAGAGCUUACCAAGGCGACGAUACAUAGCCGACCUGAGAGGGUGAUCGGCCACACUGGGACUGAGACACGGCCCAGACUCCUACGGGAGGCAGCAGUAGGGAAUCUUCGGCAAUGGACGAAAGUCUGACCGAGCAACGCCGCGUGAGUAAGAAGGUUUUCGGAUCGUAAAGCUCUGUUGUAAGUCAAGAACGUGUGUGAGAGUGGAAA